CCUACGGGGGGCAGCAGUGGGGAAUAUUGGACAAUGGGGGCAACCCUGAUCCAGCCAUGCCGCGUGUAUGAAGAAGGCCCUCGGGUUGUAAAGCACUUUCAGUGAGGAAGAACGCCUGGUGGUUAAUACCCAUCAGGAAAGACAUCACUCACAGAAGAAGCACCGGCUAACUCCGUGCCAGCAGCCGCGGUAAUACGGAGGGUGCGAGCGUUAAUCGGAAUUACUGGGCGUAAAGCGCGCGUAGGUGGCUUGAUAAGCCGGUUGUGAAAGCCCCGGGCUCAACCUGGGAACGGCAUCCGGAACUGUCAAGCUAGAGUGCAGGAGAGGAAGGUAGAAUUCCCGGUGUAGCGGUGAAAUGCGUAGAGAUCGGGAGGAAUACCAGUGGCGAAGGCGGCCUCCUGGACUGACACUGACACUGAGGUGCGAAAGCGUGGGUAGCAAACAGGAUUAGAUACCCCAGUAGUC
RNAcentral lists this ribosomal RNA (465 nucleotides) under Vreelandella stevensii. RNAcentral describes it as "partial 16S ribosomal RNA". It matches the Rfam family "Bacterial small subunit ribosomal RNA", at positions 338 to 795 of the family's 1533-position model. The record is from RNAcentral. Lineage: Bacteria; Pseudomonadati; Pseudomonadota; Gammaproteobacteria; Oceanospirillales; Halomonadaceae.